CAGUAGCCACGGGAAUACGGAGGGUGCAAGCGUUAAUCGGAAUUACUGGGCGUAAAGCGCACGCAGGCGGUCUGACAAGUCAGAUGUGAAAUCCCCGGGCUUAACCUGGGAACUGCAUUUGAAACUGUCAGGCUGGAGUCUUGUAGAGGGGGGUGGAAUUCCAGGUGUAGCGGUGAAAUGCGUAGAGAUCUGGAGGAAUACCGGUGGCGAAGGCGGCCCCCUGGACAAAGACUGACGCUCAGGUGCGAAAGCGUGGGGAGCAAACAGGAUUAGAUACCCCAGUAGUCCCUGUCUCUAUACC
This 301-nucleotide ribosomal RNA is filed under the name uncultured bacterium. RNAcentral describes it as "partial 16S ribosomal RNA". It matches the Rfam family "Bacterial small subunit ribosomal RNA", at positions 509 to 808 of the family's 1533-position model. The record is from RNAcentral.